RNAcentral lists this ribosomal RNA (465 nucleotides) under Vreelandella stevensii. RNAcentral's name for it is "partial 16S ribosomal RNA". It matches the Rfam family "Bacterial small subunit ribosomal RNA", at positions 338 to 795 of the family's 1533-position model. The record is from RNAcentral. Lineage: Bacteria; Pseudomonadati; Pseudomonadota; Gammaproteobacteria; Oceanospirillales; Halomonadaceae.
CCUACGGGGGGCUGCAGUGGGGAAUAUUGGACAAUGGGGGGAACCCUGAUCCAGCCAUGCCGCGUGUGUGAAGAAGGCCCUCGGGUUGUAAAGCACUUUCAGUGAGGAAGAACGCCUGGUGGUUAAUACCCAUCAGGAAAGACAUCACUCACAGAAGAAGCACCGGCUAACUCCGUGCCAGCAGCCGCGGUAAUACGGAGGGUGCGAGCGUUAAUCGGAAUUACUGGGCGUAAAGCGCGCGUAGGUGGCUUGAUAAGCCGGUUGUGAAAGCCCCGGGCUCAACCUGGGAACGGCAUCCGGAACUGUCAAGCUAGAGUGUAGGAGAGGAAGGUAGAAUUCCCGGUGUAGCGGUGAAAUGCGUAGAGAUCGGGAGGAAUACCAGUGGCGAAGGCGGCCUUCUGGACUGACACUGACACUGAGGUGCGAAAGCGUGGGUAGCAAACAGGAUUAGAUACCCCAGUAGUC